RNAcentral lists this ribosomal RNA (484 nucleotides) under uncultured bacterium. Its description in RNAcentral is "partial 16S ribosomal RNA". It matches the Rfam family "Bacterial small subunit ribosomal RNA", at positions 30 to 507 of the family's 1533-position model. The record is from RNAcentral.
AUUGAACGCUGGCGGCAGGCCUAACACAUGCAAGUCGAGCGGAUGAAGGGAGCUUGCUCCUGGAUUCAGCGGCGGACGGGUGAGUAAUGCCUAGGAAUCUGCCUGGCAGUGGGGGAUAACGUCCGGAAACGGGCGCUAAUACCGCAUACGUCCUGAGGGAGAAAGUGGGGGAUCUUCGGACCUCACGCUAUCAGAUGAGCCUAGGUCGGAUUAGCUAGUUGGUGGGGUAAAGGCCUACCAAGGCGACGAUCCGUAACUGGUCUGAGAGGAUGAUCAGUCACACUGGAACUGAGACACGGUCCAGACUCCUACGGGAGGCAGCAGUGGGGUAUAUUGGACAAUGGGCGAAAGCCUGAUCCAGCCGUGCCGCGUGUGUGAAGAAGGUCUUCGGAUUGUAAAGCACUUUAAGUUGGGGGGAAGGGCAGUAGGUUAAUACCUUGCUGUUUUGACGUUACCAACAGAAUAAGCACCGGCUAACUUCGUG